Molecule: ribosomal RNA, 497 nt
Filed under: uncultured bacterium
Lineage: Bacteria
Description: partial 16S ribosomal RNA
Rfam family: Bacterial small subunit ribosomal RNA
Source: RNAcentral
GAUGAACGCUGGCGGCGUGCCUAAUACAUGCAAGUCGAGCGAACAGACGAGGAGCUUGCUCCUCUGACGUUAGCGGCGGACGGGUGAGUAACACGUGGAUAACCUACCUAUAAGACUGGGAUAACUUCGGGAAACCGGAGCUAAUACCGGAUAAUAUAUUGAACCGCAUGGUUCAAUAGUGAAAGACGGUUUUGCUGUCACUUAUAGAUGGAUCCGCGCCGCAUUAGCUAGUUGGUAAGGUAACGGCUUACCAAGGCGACGAUGCGUAGCCGACCUGAGAGGUUGAUCGGCCACACUGGAACUGAGACACGGUCCAGACUCCUACGGGAGGCAGCAGUAGGGAAUCUCCCGCAAUGGGCGAAAGCCUGACGGAGCAACGCCGCGUGAGUGAUGAAGGUCUUCGGACCGUAAAACUCUGUUAUUAGGGAAGAACAAAUGUGUAAGUAACUAUGCACGGCUUGACGGUACCUAAUCAGAAAGCCACGGCUAACUACGUG